Molecule: ribosomal RNA, 280 nt
Filed under: uncultured prokaryote
Description: partial 16S ribosomal RNA
Rfam family: Bacterial small subunit ribosomal RNA
Source: RNAcentral
UACGUAGGGGCUAGCGUUAUCCGGAAUUACUGGGCGUAAAGGGUGCGUAGGUGGUUUCUUAAGUCAGAGGUGAAAGGCUACGGCUCAACCGUAGUAAGCCUUUGAAACUGGGAAACUUGAGUGCAGGAGAGGAGAGUGGAAUUCCUAGUGUAGCGGUGAAAUGCGUAGAUAUUAGGAGGAACACCAGUUGCGAAGGCGGCUCUCUGGACUGUAACUGACGCUGAGGCACGAAAGCGUGGGGAGCAAACAGGAUUAGAUACCCGUGUAGUCCCUGAGCGGG